RNAcentral lists this unclassified non-coding RNA (1570 nucleotides) under Hevea brasiliensis (rubber tree). Lineage: Eukaryota; Viridiplantae; Streptophyta; Magnoliopsida; Malpighiales; Euphorbiaceae. The record is from RNAcentral.
ACCCUUUGCAUUUGUUCACCACUUCCAAUUUAUCAGAAUUGCAGGGAUGUAAACACUGUAACCCUGUGAUUCUUCAUUCUUGAUGAGCCAUUGUAUAAAUGAAGAAAGUGAAAAACCAGUCAAAAUCAUUCAGAAUUCAUAUCCAUUAUCAUGUCAUUUGUCAAGAACAUAAGGCACACAGAAAUUUCCAACAAAAUUUUUCCUUAAGCAAAUAAAUUUUCAAUUAUUAAAAAAGAAAAAAAUAUAAAAAUGGGUACCCUGCAUCGUUGAUUGGUUGAUUGAAAAGAAUAUGACAAAAAGAUACUUAAUGUAAUGUACUACCCAUUUCAGAAGAAAUAGAGUGGAAAAAUUGUUAAGCAGCUAAUACUUUAUAUCUCAUCAUCCAAUGUCCUGCUCACAUAGAAUUAGAUGCUGAAAAUUUUUAAAAUUUUCUCAUAUAAGUAGAGAUAAAAAUUAAUAAUUUGCAAAAUUUAAGAGAAGAAUCACCACCUUAUUCAUAAUAAAAACAGUAUAACACUCCUAGAUAGAGUUCAUAUCCUGCCCUCAGCAGAGAUUCUAUACCCUCAAAUCCUAAAAUUCAAAUAAUAAUGAAACGGUAUGAAGAUCAGUCUAUUGUUCAACUGAUUCAUGUAUAAGAAAAUGUUGAAAAGGACAAAAAACAGAGCACCAAGAAAUAUGGCAUAACACUAAAUAUUUCUACUUCUAACAUAUUUGAACUAGCAGAGAGGUUGCAGUUGCAGCUCCGGGGUUCCUCAUAUCCUGUUUUGUUGUAUAACCAACGUCCUUCUACAUGAAAGAAAAUGGAGAGAAUAAAUAUUAAUAAGAAAAAAAGAGAUGAUCAAAUCAAGAAACUACCUUCCAAGUGUCCUUAGCACUAGUGCCAGAUACCAAUAAUUGUCAACAAGUGAGAUGGGCAUUUACAACUUACUGUAUUACUUGUUUUGAAGACGGAAUUGAAAUAGCUCCAUACACUAUGUUUUUACUGCUGUCCACUGCACACAGAAUCAAUGACUUAAAAGUUCUUCUCUAGAACUUAUACUUGUUUUUGAAGAAGCAAAAAUAUCUUGGCCUGGAUCAUCUGGCAGCAAAAGCCAAAGUUGUAAUCGGAUGUGCGGAAAUUCUUCCGUGGAGUAUGAUCUUCAAAUGCAUAUUAUGUCAAGCCAAUAAAAAAAAUUGCUUCCAGGACAUCUUAUGUUGGUUUCUUGUCCAUUAUCAUGCCACUUAUCAAGAACACAAGAACACAAAAAUUUCAGAGUAAAUUUUAGUUUUGCUGAUUUCCGACAGAAUAUGGUGGCUAAAUUAUUAGGCAUUUAAUCUUCAUAACUUGUAAUAUAAUUUCUCUCAGAAGCAGCGGAAGAUUUUUCCUCGCCCUAUAGUGGAUAGGGGCUCUCUCAUUGAAUUAUUUUCCUAUCAACUUUAAUAAUUGAGAUGUGAGAAAUGAAAGGCCAAUCCUCACACUUUUUAUUCCACGUCUUUCCUUCAACAGGGGACAAUCAUUAAUUUCAAAUUCUCGUAGAGAGGUGAGAGAACACAUCUGUCAAGGCAGAGACUCUAUUCCCAAAAUGGUUAA